RNAcentral lists this ribosomal RNA (406 nucleotides) under uncultured bacterium. RNAcentral's name for it is "partial 16S ribosomal RNA". It matches the Rfam family "Bacterial small subunit ribosomal RNA", at positions 29 to 526 of the family's 1533-position model. The record is from RNAcentral.
AUUGAACGCUGGCGGCAGGCUUAACACAUGCAAGUCGAGCGAGCGGCGGACGGGUGAGUAAUGUCUGGGAAACUGCCUGAUGGAGGGGGAUAACUACUGGAAACGGUAGCUAAUACCGCAUACCAUCAGAUGUGCCCAGAUGGGAUUAGCUAGUAGGGGGGGUAAUGGCUCACCUAGGCGACGAUCCCUAGCUGGGCUGAGAGGAUGACCAGCCACACGGUAACUGAGACACGGUCCCGCCUCCGACGGGCGUCAGCAGUGGGGAAUAGUGCACAAUGGGAGCAAGCCUGAUGCAGCCAUGCCGCGUGUGUGAAGAAGGCCUUGGGGUUGUAAAGCACUUGCAGCGAGGAGGCGUUACUCGCAGAAGAAGCACCGGCUAACUCCGUGACAGCAGCCGCGGUAAGUC